RNAcentral lists this unclassified non-coding RNA (250 nucleotides) under uncultured Xylariales. RNAcentral's name for it is "sequence contains 5.8S rRNA gene, ITS2, 28S rRNA gene". The record is from RNAcentral. Lineage: Eukaryota; Fungi; Ascomycota; Sordariomycetes; Xylariales.
AACGCACAUUGCGCCCAUUAGUAUUCUAGUGGGCAUGCCUGUUCGAGCGUCAUUUCAACCCUUAAGCCCCUGUUGCUUAGCGUUGAGAGCCUACAGCAUUGUAGCUCCUCAAAGUUAGUGGCGGAGUCGGUCCUCACACUCUAGACGUAGUAAAUCUUUCUCGUUUACAGUUGAGCCGGUCCCUUGCCGUAAAACCCCCUAAAUUUUUAAGGUUGACCUCGGAUCAGGUAGGAAUACCCGCUGAACUUAA